GAUGAACGCUGGCGGCGUGCCUAAUACAUGCAAGUCGAACGCUGGAGAUCUAGCUUGCUAGAUCGAAGGAGUGGCGAACGGGUGAGUAAUACAUAAGAAACCUACCCACGAAGACUGGGAUAAUCUCUGGAAACGGGGACUAAUACCGGAUAGGUAAUCGGAAGGCAUCUUCUGGUUAUUAAAGGUUAAAAACCAUGGUGGAUGGGCUUAUGGCGCAUUAGUUAGUUGGUGGGGUAACGGCCCACCAAAACGAUGAUGCGUAGCCGGCCUGAGAGGGUGAACGGCCACAUUGGGACUGAGACACGGCCCAGACUCCUACGGGAGGCAGCAGUAGGGAAUUUUCGGCAAUGGGGGCAACCCUGACCGAGCAACGCCGCGUGAGUGAAGACGGCCUUCGGGGUGUAAAGCUCUGUUGUAAGGGAAGAACGGUAGAUAGAGAAUAUCUAAGUGACGGUACCUUACCAGAAAGCCACGGCUAACUACGUG
RNAcentral lists this ribosomal RNA (486 nucleotides) under uncultured bacterium. RNAcentral describes it as "partial 16S ribosomal RNA". It matches the Rfam family "Bacterial small subunit ribosomal RNA", at positions 28 to 507 of the family's 1533-position model. The record is from RNAcentral.